CAGUUGAGAGCUCAGUUGGUUAGAGCACUGCACCGGCAUCGCAGAGGUCAUGGGUUUGAAUCCCGUUGAGUCAACUGA
This 78-nucleotide transfer RNA is filed under the name Acropora cervicornis. Its description in RNAcentral is "tRNA-Ala". The stretch from base 9 to 66 matches the Rfam family "tRNA", at positions 9 to 63 of the family's 71-position model. Rfam says of the family: Transfer RNA (tRNA) molecules are approximately 80 nucleotides in length. The record is from RNAcentral. Lineage: Eukaryota; Metazoa; Cnidaria; Anthozoa; Scleractinia; Acroporidae.